RNAcentral lists this ribosomal RNA (434 nucleotides) under uncultured Lachnospiraceae bacterium. RNAcentral's name for it is "partial 16S ribosomal RNA". It matches the Rfam family "Bacterial small subunit ribosomal RNA", at positions 341 to 792 of the family's 1533-position model. The record is from RNAcentral. Lineage: Bacteria; Bacillati; Bacillota; Clostridia; Lachnospirales; Lachnospiraceae.
ACGGAAGGCAGCAGUGGGGAAUAUUGCACAAUGGGGGAAACCCUGAUGCAGCGACGCCGCGUGAGUGAAGAAGUAUUUCGGUAUGUAAAGCUCUAUCAGCAAGGAAGAUAAUGACGGUACUUGACUAAGAAGCCCCGGCUAACUACGUGCCAGCAGCCGCGGUAGUACGUAGGGGGCAAGCGUUAUCCGGAUUUACUGGGUGUAAAGGGAGCGUAGACGGUUUGGCAAGUCUGAAGUGAAAGCCCGGGGCUCAACCCCGGUAUUGCUUUGGAAACUGUUGAACUAGAGUGCAGGAGGGGUAAGCGGAAUUCCUAGUGUAGCGGUGAAAUGCGUAGAUAUUAGGAGGAACACCGGUGGCGAAGGCGGCUUACUGGACUGUAACUGACGUUGAGGCUCGAAAGCGUGGGGAGCAAACAGGAUUAGAUACCCUGGUA